AUACUUACCUGGACGGGGUCAACGGGCGAUCAAGAAGGCCUAUGGACUAGGUUGGUGACCUCUUUUGCACUUUGGAGGGGUGCUUGCCUAAGGUCGGCCCAAGUGGUCGAGCCUACGUCAUAAUUUAUGGCAGUGGGGGGCCUGUGUUCGCGCGGCCCCUAC
Capsicum annuum is the source of this 162-nucleotide non-coding RNA. Lineage: Eukaryota; Viridiplantae; Streptophyta; Magnoliopsida; Solanales; Solanaceae. The record is from Rfam.